Molecule: ribosomal RNA, 499 nt
Filed under: uncultured bacterium
Lineage: Bacteria
Description: partial 16S ribosomal RNA
Rfam family: Bacterial small subunit ribosomal RNA
Source: RNAcentral
GACGAACGCUGGCGGCGUGCCUAAUACAUGCCAGUCGAGCGGACUGAAUGGGAGCUUGCUCUUGUUCGGUCAGCGGCGGACGGGUGAGUAACACGUGGGCAACCUGCCCGCAAGACCGGGAUAACUCCGGGAAACCGGAGCUAAUACCGGAUAACACCGAAGACCGCAUGGUCUUUGGUUGAAAGGCGGCGCAAGCUGCCACUUGCGGAUGGGCCCGCGGCGCAUUAGCUAGUUGGUGAGGUAACGGCUCACCAAGGCGACGAUGCGUAGCCGGCCUGAGAGGGUGACCGGCCACACUGGGACUGAGACACGGCCCAGACUCCUACGGGAGGCAGCAGUAGGGAAUCUUCCGCAAUGGGCGAAAGCCUGACGGAGCGACGCCGCGUGAGCGAAGAAGGCCUUCGGGUCGUAAAGCUCUGUUGUGAGGGACGAAGGAGCGACGUUUGAAGAAGGCGGCGCGGUGACGGUACCUCACGAGGAAGCCCCGGCUAACUACGUG